Molecule: ribosomal RNA, 428 nt
Filed under: Klebsiella pneumoniae
Lineage: Bacteria; Pseudomonadati; Pseudomonadota; Gammaproteobacteria; Enterobacterales; Enterobacteriaceae
Description: bacterial SSU rRNA
Rfam family: Bacterial small subunit ribosomal RNA
Source: RNAcentral
CACCUAGGCGACGAUCCCUAGCUGGUCUGAGAGGAUGACCAGCCACACUGGAAGUGAGACACGGUCCAGACUCCUACGGGAGGCAGCAGUGGGGAAUAUUGCACAAUGGGCGCAAGCCUGAUGCAGCCAUGCCGCGUGUGUGAAGAAGGCCUUCGGGUUGUAAAGCACUUUCAGCGGGGAGGAAGGCGAUAAGGUUAAUAACCUUGUCGAUUGACGUUACCCGCAGAAGAAGCACCGGCUAACUCCGUGCCAGCAGCCGCGGUAAUACGGAGGGUGCAAGCGUUAAUCGGAAUUACUGGGCGUAAAGCGCACGCAGGCGGUCUGUCAAGUCGGAUGUGAAAUCCCCGGGCUCAACCUGGGAACUGCAUUCGAAACUGGCAGGCUAGAGUCUAGUAGAGGGGGGUAGAAUUCCAGGUGUAGCGGUGAAC